This 149-nucleotide small nuclear RNA is filed under the name Sorex araneus (European shrew). Its description in RNAcentral is "U1 spliceosomal RNA (ENSSARG00000019870.1)". It matches the Rfam family "U1 spliceosomal RNA". From Rfam's summary of the family: U1 is a small nuclear RNA (snRNA) component of the spliceosome (involved in pre-mRNA splicing). Its 5' end forms complementary base pairs with the 5' splice junction, thus defining the 5' donor site of an intron. Lineage: Eukaryota; Metazoa; Chordata; Mammalia; Eulipotyphla; Soricidae. The record is from RNAcentral.
AUACUUAUCUGGUUUUGGAGAUACCAUGAUCAUAAAGGUAGCAAUUUUUAUCACUUCCCAAGGUGAUUUUUAUCUAUUAUAAAAAUUUCCCAAAUGUGGAAAACUCCAUAAUUUGUGGUAUUAGGGGACAAAAUUUGUGCUUUCCCUUG